Molecule: ribosomal RNA, 497 nt
Filed under: uncultured bacterium
Lineage: Bacteria
Description: partial 16S ribosomal RNA
Rfam family: Bacterial small subunit ribosomal RNA
Source: RNAcentral
GACGAACGCUGGCGGCGUGCCUAAUACAUGCAAGUCGAGCGGACGGAUCGGAAGCUUGCUUUUCUUUCGUUAGCGGCGGACGGGUGAGUAACACGUGGGCAACCUACCCUUUAGACUGGGAUAACUUCGAGAAAUCGUUGCUAAUACCGGAUAACACUUAAUAUCGCAUGACUCAUCGUUGAAAGACGGCCCUGGCGUCCGCUAUAGAUUGAUCCCCGCUGCAUUAGCUAGUUGGUAAGGUAACGGCUUACCAAGGCCACGAAUCCUAGCCGACCUGAGAGGGUGAUCGGCCACACUGGGACUGAGACACGGUCCAGACUCCUACGGGAGGCAGCAGUAGGGAAUCUUCCGCAAUGGACGAAAGCCUGACGGAGCAACGCCGCGUGAGUGAAGAAGGUCUUCGGGUCGUAAAGCUCUGUUGUUAGGGAAGAACAAGUAACGAAGUAACUGGCGUUACCGUGACGGUACCUAAUGAGAAAGCCACGGCUAACUACGUG